Cottoperca gobio is the source of this 83-nucleotide small nucleolar RNA. Lineage: Eukaryota; Metazoa; Chordata; Actinopteri; Perciformes; Bovichtidae. The record is from Ensembl.
CCUGUCAGUGAUGAUUUACUCCAUUUUAUAUUCGAGUUUCAAUAACCAUGAGAUAUCUUACAUGCACUACCAUCUGAGACAUC